This is a long non-coding RNA of Rosa rugosa (rugosa rose), 1588 nucleotides long. RefSeq lists it as uncharacterized. The record is from RefSeq and is a predicted model, not a curated record. The transcript is spliced from 10 exons. NCBI's taxonomy places the organism in Eukaryota, Viridiplantae, Streptophyta, Magnoliopsida, Rosales, Rosaceae.
GCGGCAUUCCAAAGCGCUAUUUUAAACCCGGUAUAAAGAUAAAAUUCUUGGUUCGGGAGACAAGUCCCUCUUUUAUCUUCAUCGUCCUCCUCCCUUACUCCUCUUCUCGCCCAGUCGCCCUCAACACCCUCCCUCACAUCCCUCUUUAUCCAAACCAAUCCUUACCUCAAUUCGGACCACUUUCGACAGCCCGUUCGAGUCUCUUACGGUGUCGCUCGACCUUAAUUUGCGCGAUCGUCAAUUCGCUGGACAGCACUCCCAGAGUUAGCCGCCGUGUUAUGGGCUUCUGGGAAUUACAAUUGGUGGAUAUCAUGGAUCACAGAGGAAGUUGAGGUAUCAUUUGCUAUUGGAAUCUGAGGGAUUGAUAGUGUGCUUAUGUGGAAUUCAUUGGAAUUAAGUGGACUUGAGAAGUAUUAGUACACUUUGUUGUUUUGCUUGCUGCUACUGUUUUUCUUUGAAGUGAUUUAUCUGUUAGAUCGUCUGUAUUCCAGGGAUUCAAGGCAGCUUGCAUUCAAAUGAAAAUCUCUCUCCCUAGGUAAAGGUCUUCGCUUUCUGACAGUAAGUUCUAUUGGUAAAGGUGAAGAUGCAACAGGAAGUUGAUCAAUAUUUGACAGCAAUGCUGAUUGUGAAUCUUCGACAGCCCAGUUGAGAGAACAGCUCCUGUUGUCUACAACGCUGAGAACUGGAGCCAAAGGGAAGAGAAGCAUUUGGGUCUAGGUUUUGAUCAGGUGCAAUGAUAUUGAUCCAAUUAGGAACGACCUGUACAUGUUAUUGUAAGAGACUCUUGACUGAGUUGGUGAGCUAUUGCAACUUCGGGGUUAUCUCAAAUUGAUUGAGUUGGGUCUUGAGGGUGGUUGUGCACAAACUUCUAUUGUUUUCAUUAGAUGAUCCUCAUCGGAAAAUCUGUACAGCAAUUAGUAUGGCUGUAGCAUCAAUAGCAAGUUAUGAUUGGCCAGAAGAUUGGCCGGACUUAUUACGAUAUCUAAUGAAGUUGAUUAACAACCAAACCAAUAUGAAUGGAGAUAAGCCUUUCCAAUUCAUGAUCUGCCAACUCUAUCUUGAUUCUUUGUGUGGCCAAAAUGAGUCUAUCAGAAACAUUAAGUUUUUUAAAUUGUUUGUUGUGCUUUUUCAUAUUUGUUACUUUGACAAGUUUCUUCUGCUUUAGAUUACACAUUUCCUAAAUUUUGCAGUGCAUGGAGCACUUAGAUGCUUGGCUUUUCUCUCUGUGGACUUGGAUGAUACAGUGGUCCCGAAACUAAUUCCUGCUUUGUUCCCAUGCUUGCUUACAAUUGUAUCAUCUCCUCAGAAUGGUGAAGAGGCCGGGUGUCAGUUCAGAGGUAGAGAAAUCUCAAUGCACAUCAAUUACAACUGUUACAUGUGAAGAGUUGCAAAAGCUUGUCCAUCUUUCUCAUGGAUUUUGUUGUCAUGGGAGUGUUGAAAUUGUUUUAGGCUUUUAAAUUAAUUUUCAAGAGACAUGUACUUGUGAUCAUGAUCAACAAGUGAUAAUGUGGAUUGUUUUCAGCAAUACAAUGUAUUUACUUUAAUACAAUUUCUAUUAUAUAGAAGUUUCAUUACUAUUAGAGUUCUA